Non-coding RNA from Nicotiana tabacum (common tobacco), 1181 nucleotides. The record is from RefSeq and is a predicted model, not a curated record. NCBI's taxonomy places the organism in Eukaryota, Viridiplantae, Streptophyta, Magnoliopsida, Solanales, Solanaceae.
UUGUAUUUUUACUUAAACUGCAAUAAGGUAAACAUUUACGAACAAAAUAAUUACUAAAAUGUCACGCAAACUCUCAAGAUUUGUACCCGAAGGUAACUUGCUUUAUUUUUUGAUUUCUUUUGGAGUAAUUAUCGUGAAGCAAAAAUCACGUGCUCACACUCAUUUAUGUUUCUUCGUGUAUUAUGUGCAGAUAUCUGAUCAAGCAUCUUAAACCAAACUUUUUAAAGUUCUUAAGUGCAACAUUUAUCAUCAAAAACUAAACUAUAAACUGAGAAACCUGUUAUUGUUGCACUCAUGGUCUCUUGAUAAAUCUUUCAAUGCUUAUUUGAAUGUGAACUAGGACUUGAAGGCUAAUAUAUUCAACUCUAUUUGUCAAGAACAAUAGUGUAAUGUGAUUGUUGUAAUUUUGCUGCUUGGACACAAUUAACAUUUGAAUCCCUCUAAAACUCCUUUCAAGUCAAUUUAGUAUUUGGCUUUGUUAAUUAUUAACUACUUAUUAUUUUUCUUACAUUUUUAGAUUAUACAGCUCAGAUUUGAUCUUUAAAUAACUUGGCGUCAUUUUAUAUGAUUUUUUAGUAAUUAUAGCAGCUAACCUGCAUUUAAUUUCUUUAUGAUGAAAGAUUAUACUAUGGAAGUCAUUUGAUAUGUAUCGAGAUAAUGCCAGCCUAUUCUCUUCUACAAUAGUUUUAAAGCCACCGGCAGAUUGCCACAACUUAGCUUAAUGUCUUAGUUGUGAAUCAGAUAUCAGACAUACUUUUUGUUAAUGAUAGCGAGGAUGUAUAUGAAACGACAUAUGAUUUUGGAGACAAUAUGGAGGAUUACCGUGUUACCAGUAACUUAUUAGGUGGUUGGAACAUUGUCCUUAUUGCUUGCUCAAUCUCCCAAGCUACACAAAUACUGGUCUUACACUUGCUCACCGUAUUUAUUAUAGUUGGAUGGUGGACAGCGGGAUCGAUCUCUCAUUCGUGAUACUUAUCCGUUCAAAGUGUGAGGAAGAUCGAUGGAGUUGAAUGCGACAACUCUAAGAAAGGAUUUAGUACUUUAAUUUGUCUGUGAUUGUUUUGAGUAUUAUUUAGCUUAUGCAAACUCCUUUCGCUCUCUAUUGUAUCUUUGUUGAUUCGCGACUUUUGCCUUUGCAUUAUUCUUCUUAUAAUAUAGCUAAUGACCUGAAGAUUUAGAAA